UGGAAGCGUCUGGAAAGGCGCGCGAUACAGGGUGACAGCCCCGUACACAAAAAUGCACAUGCUGUGAGCUCGAUGAGUAGGGCGGGACACGUGGUAUCCUGUCUGAAUAUGGGGGGACCAUCCUCCAAGGCUAAAUACUCCUGACUGACCGAUAGUGAACCAGUACCGUGAGGGAAAGGCGAAAAGAACCCCGGCGAGGGGAGUGAAAAAGAACCUGAAACCGUGUACGUACAAGCAGUGGGAGCACGCUUAGGCGUGUGACUGCGUACCUUUUGUAUAAUGGGUCAGCGACUUAUAUUCUGUAGCAAGGUUAACCGAAUAGGGGAGCCGAAGGGAAACCGAGUCUUAACUGGGCGUUAAGUUGCAGGGUAUAGACCCGAAACCCGGUGAUCUAGCCAUGGGCAGGUUGAAGGUUGGGUAACACUAACUGGAGGACCGAACCGACUAAUGUUGAAAAAUUAGCGGAUGACUUGUGGCUGGGGGUGAAAGGCCAAUCAAACCGGGAGAUAGCUGGUUCUCCCCGAAAGCUAUUUAGGUAGCGCCUCGUGAAUUCAUCUCCGGGGGUAGAGCACUGUUUCG
RNAcentral lists this ribosomal RNA (579 nucleotides) under Escherichia coli. RNAcentral's name for it is "partial 23S ribosomal RNA". It matches the Rfam family "Bacterial large subunit ribosomal RNA", at positions 333 to 917 of the family's 2925-position model. Lineage: Bacteria; Pseudomonadati; Pseudomonadota; Gammaproteobacteria; Enterobacterales; Enterobacteriaceae. The record is from RNAcentral.